UGGGGAAUAUUGCACAAUGGGCGAAAGCCUGAUGCAGCAACGCCGCGUGAGUGAUGAAGGUCUUCGGAUUGUAAAGCUCUGUCUUUUGGGACGAUAAUGACGGUACCAAAGGAGGAAGCCACGGCUAACUACGUGCCAGCAGCCGCGGUAAUACGUAGGUGGCGAGCGUUGUCCGGAUUUACUGGGCGUAAAGGGUGCGUAGGCGGAUGUUUAAGUGAGAUGUGAAAUACCCGGGCUUAACUUGGGUGCUGCAUUUCAAACUGGAUAUCUAGAGUGCAGGAGAGGAGAAUGGAAUUCCUAGUGUAGCGGUGAAAUGCGUAGAGAUUAGGAAGAACACCAGUGGCAAAGGCGAUUCUCUGGACUGUAACUGACGCUGAGGCACGAAAGCGUGGGUAGCAAACAGGAUUAGAUACCCUGGUAGUCCACGCCGUAAAACGAUGAGUACUAGGUGUAGGAGGUAUCGACCCCUUCUGUGCCGCAGUAAACACAUUAAGUACUCCGCCUGGGAAGUACGAUCGCAAGAUUAAAAC
This 530-nucleotide ribosomal RNA is filed under the name uncultured bacterium. RNAcentral's name for it is "partial 16S ribosomal RNA". It matches the Rfam family "Bacterial small subunit ribosomal RNA", at positions 355 to 900 of the family's 1533-position model. The record is from RNAcentral.